This 1497-nucleotide ribosomal RNA is filed under the name activated sludge metagenome. RNAcentral describes it as "bacterial LSU rRNA". It matches the Rfam family "Bacterial large subunit ribosomal RNA", at positions 750 to 2231 of the family's 2925-position model. The record is from RNAcentral.
GGUUGGGUAACACUAACUGGAGGACCGAACCCACUGUCGUUGAAAAGCCAGGGGAUGACUUGUGGAUAGGGGUGAAAGGCUAAUCAAACUCGGUGAUAGCUGGUUCUCCCCGAAAGCUAUUUAGGUAGCGCCUCGGACGAAUACCAUUGGGGGUAGAGCACUGUUUCGGCUAGGGGGUCAUCCCGACUUACCAAACCGAUGCAAACUCCGAAUACCAAUGAGUACUAUCCGGGAGACAGACUGCGGGUGCUAACGUCCGUAGUCAAGAGGAAAACAAUCCAGACCGCCAGCUAAGGCCCCAAAAUCAUAGUUAAGUGGGAAACGAUGUGGGAAGGCAUAGACAGCUAGGAGGUUGGCUUAGAAGCAGCCACCCUUUAAAGAAAGCGUAAUAGCUCACUAGUCGAGUCGGCCUGCGCGGAAGAUGUAACGGGGCUAAAACUAUGUGCCGAAGCUGCGGAUGUAUACAUUGUAUACGUGGUAGGGGAGCGUUCUGUAAGCCGAAGAAGGUGGAUUGAGAAGUCUGCUGGAGGUAUCAGAAGUGCGAAUGCUGACGUGAGUAACGACAAAACGGGUGAAAAACCCGUUCGCUGAAAGACCAAGGGUUCCAGUCCAACGUUAAUCGGGGCUGGGUGAGUCGACCCCUAAGGCGAGGCCGAGAGGCGUAGUCGAUGGGAAAUUGGUUAAUAUUCCAAUACUUCAGUGUAAUGCGAUGAGAGGACGGAGAAGGUUAAGUCAGCCUGGCGUUGGUAGUCCAGGUGAAAGGAAGUAGGCAUGCAUCUUAGGCAAAUCCGGGGUGCUCUAUGCUGAGAUCUGAUAGCAAGCUGUACUUGUACAGUGAAGUGGCUGAUACCCUGCUUCCAGGAAAAGUCUCUAAGCUUCAGUUACACUGGAAUCGUACCCGAAACCGACACAGGUGGUCAGGUCGAGUAGACCAAAGCGCUUGAGAGAACUCUGCUGAAGGAACUAGGCAAAAUGGUACCGUAACUUCGGGAGAAGGUACGCUGUUGACGGUGAUGGGACUUGCUCCCUGAGCGGUUGACAGCCUCAGAAACCAGGCCGCUGCAACUGUUUAUUAAAAACAUAGCACUCUGCAAACACGAAAGUGGACGUAUAGGGUGUGAUGCCUGCCCGGUGCUGGAAGGUUAAUUGAUGGGGUUAGCGUAAGCGAAGCUCUUGAUCGAAGCCCCAGUAAACGGCGGCCGUAACUAUAACGGUCCUAAGGUAGCGAAAUUCCUUGUCGGGUAAGUUCCGACCUGCACGAAUGGCAUAAUGAUGGCGGCGCUGUCUCCAGCAGAGGCUCAGUGAAAUCGAAUUCGCCGUGAAGAUGCGGUGUACCCGCGGCUAGACGGAAAGACCCCGUGAACCUUUACUGCAGCUUGACAUUGAACUUUGACCUUACUUGUGUAGGAUAGGUGGGAGGCUUUGAAACUUGGACGCUAGUCCGAGUGGAGCCGUCCUUGAAAUACCACCCUGGUAAUGUUGAGGUUCUAACUCUGU